GUUCCGUUGGCCAAGUGAUUAGAGCGUCCACCUCAGAUGCGGGAGGUCGUGGGUUCGAUCCCCGGUCAAGUAAUA
Molecule: non-coding RNA, 75 nt
Organism: Potamilus streckersoni
Lineage: Eukaryota; Metazoa; Mollusca; Bivalvia; Unionida; Unionidae
Source: the annotation of a GenBank genome assembly